GUAGGUGGCAAGCGUUGUCCGGAAUUAUUGGGCGUAAAGCGCGCGCAGGCGGUCCUUUAAGUCUGGGUGUGAAAGCCCACGGCUCAACCGUGGAGGGUCAUUGGAAACUGGGGGACUUGAGUACAGAAGAGGAAAGCGGAAUUCCAAGUGUAGCGGUGAAAUGCGUAGAGAUUUGGAGGAACACCAGUGGCGAAGGCGGCUUUCUGGUCUGUAACUGACGCUGAGGCGCGAAAGCGUGGGGAGCAAACAGGAUUAGAUACCCUGGUAGUCCACGCCGUAAACGAUGAGUGCUAAGUGUUAGGGGGUUUCCGCCCCUUAGUGCUGCAGCUAACGCAUUAAGCACUCCGCCUGGGGAGUACGGCCGCAAGGCUG
Molecule: ribosomal RNA, 372 nt
Filed under: uncultured organism
Description: partial 16S ribosomal RNA
Rfam family: Bacterial small subunit ribosomal RNA
Source: RNAcentral